RNAcentral lists this non-coding RNA (29 nucleotides) under Rattus norvegicus (Norway rat). The record is from RNAcentral. Lineage: Eukaryota; Metazoa; Chordata; Mammalia; Rodentia; Muridae.
UGGGAGAUGUUCUCUUGGAAGGCACCAGA